GUCUAAAUGCUAUUGUUUCUUUCUCUUCUGCUAAACACUGCGCAGUCAAUUCUACAAAUGAGAGGGUUAUAAUCAGUUUGGGAUUAGAUUAAUCAUCAGGGCCUUGCGUGUUGUGUUGGCAGUGACUUUCUCUUGUUCAUCUCGUCCUUGAGUACGUCUCCCAGACUAAGUGGACGUAUUAUUAUGCAUAUCCGAAACGACUGCGAACACCACGACAUUCAACCCAUAACAGUUGAUUUUAAAUGAUGUUCCUUUAGCGGGGCUGACAAUAUAUUCGGUAUAGCCAAUAACAUGCGGCGGACUCGACGGCCUCCUCGAAGUGAAAGUGGUUCGUUUGGUGGCCUGGCAACAUGGAAUGUUAUCUUUUUUGUGUGUGUGUGUGUGUGUGUGAAAAGAGUACAUCCGAUAUUCUUGUGCAUAUACAUUUCUUUGGCUCUC
Molecule: long non-coding RNA, 438 nt
Organism: Daphnia magna
Lineage: Eukaryota; Metazoa; Arthropoda; Branchiopoda; Diplostraca; Daphniidae
Exons: 2
Source: RefSeq, a predicted model, not a curated record